This 343-nucleotide ribosomal RNA is filed under the name Faecalibacterium prausnitzii. RNAcentral's name for it is "bacterial SSU rRNA". It matches the Rfam family "Bacterial small subunit ribosomal RNA", at positions 1 to 339 of the family's 1533-position model. Lineage: Bacteria; Bacillati; Bacillota; Clostridia; Eubacteriales; Oscillospiraceae. The record is from RNAcentral.
UUUAUAAAGAGUUUGAUCCUGGCUCAGGACGAACGCUGGCGGCGCGCCUAACACAUGCAAGUCGAACGAGAGAUGAGGAGCUUGCUUUUCAAAUCGAGUGGCGAACGGGUGAGUAACGCGUGAGGAACCUGCCUCAAAGAGGGGGACAACAGUUGGAAACGACUGCUAAUACCGCAUAAGCCCACGGCUCGGCAUCGAGCAGAGGGAAAAGGAGCAAUCCGCUUUGAGAUGGCCUCGCGUCCGAUUAGCUAGUUGGUGAGGUAACGGCCCACCAAGGCGACGAUCGGUAGCCGGACUGAGAGGUUGAACGGCCACAUUGGGACUGAGACACGGCCCAGACUCC